This 321-nucleotide ribosomal RNA is filed under the name Multicalyx elegans. RNAcentral describes it as "eukaryotic LSU rRNA". It matches the Rfam family "Eukaryotic large subunit ribosomal RNA", at positions 72 to 363 of the family's 3401-position model. Lineage: Eukaryota; Metazoa; Platyhelminthes; Trematoda; Multicalycidae. The record is from RNAcentral.
GUAUUCCCUUAGUAACGGCGAGUGAACAGGGAAGAGCCCAGCACCGAAGCCUGCGGUCAUUUGGCUGUUAGGCAAUGUGGUGUUUAGGUUCUAUCGCAGAAGUACCACUUCACUCAAAGUCCAGCAAUGAGUAUGGUUUAUUGGACUUGGCCCAAAGAGGGUGAAAGGCCCGUGCGGGUGAAGAUCAAGCAGGUUGGUGCUUCUACCGGUGGACCUUGGAGUCGGGUUGUUUGUGAAUGCAGCCCAAAGUGGGUGGUAAACUCCAUGCCAAGGCUAAAUACCUACACGAGUCCGAUAGCGAACAAGUACCGUGAGGGAAAA